Molecule: long non-coding RNA, 4883 nt
Organism: Sapajus apella (tufted capuchin)
Lineage: Eukaryota; Metazoa; Chordata; Mammalia; Primates; Cebidae
Exons: 3
Source: RefSeq, a predicted model, not a curated record
UCAAACUCCUGACCUCAGGUGAUCCACUUGCCUUGGCCACCCGAAGUGCUGGGAUUACAGGCGUGAGCCACUGCGCCUGGCCUACUUUCUUUUUUAGAAGAUCUCUCUGGCCACUGGGUAUGGAAUGGAUGAAAGGGUCAGAGUGAAAGCAGGAGCAGCGUGAGGAGGCUGUUGGGAGACUGGGAACAGAUGGCCUUGAUUGGAGCCUCAGUGGAUGCAGUAAGCAUGGGAAGGAAUGUGUGAACCCAGGAGAACUCUAAGUCACUCAGGAUCAUGCUUGUUCUAGGGAGGAGAAGGGACUUCAAACAAAGAAGACAUGUGCACAUGGGGAAACAUUCCCUCGGCCUCUCAUUGUGGGGCCCCAGGUGGGCUCUAGAGGACCAGGACACAACUACUCUUCCCAAGUCUCUCCUGGACCGCCAGGACUCCCAAGCAUCCCAUCACUGCCUGUCUCCCAAGAAGAACCCAUUCUGAUAAAAGUAAACCACCAUUUCAGUUCUUCUCCAGGAGUUAUAAAGUAUAAAUACGAAAGGUCCCUGCUGUGCUCGCCUUCCUAUUUUUCAAUCCUAAAUUAAUUCCUCUCUCCAUUCUGUAAUUCAGCACCCCCUCCUCUGAGCCUCCACACUGGGUGGUCCUGACUUCUGUGGGAGAUUUGCUGGAGAGAUGACUUGGAGGAACACAUUGUUUUUUUCCAAAUGAUUUAGUGACCUUUUUGGCAUCCCCAUGACUGCUGAAAUCUUGUGUAAUUAUUCGGUUUGCCGGCAGAGAGUUCUGUUGAUGAGGGGAAAGCUUAGGUAGAUGUCAAAUGUCAAUAAAUUUGCAAUCCAUAAUUGUAACCACUUGAUGCCGGAGCAGACCAGGGAUAAGGACUUGGUCACAAGGCCAUGGAUAGUUGAACCAAUACAAGCACCAAAGUAUCUCACAUGCAGAAAUAUUGCCUAUCUUUCUUUUCUCACUAGCGCUCUUUCUCUUUCUCUGACUCUUUUUCUCCAUUUCUAUCACAGUCUUCAUCCCCUUCCCUAGAGAGGGGCAUGUUAAAUACUCCACCAAGUCUUCUAGGUCCAUUUCCAGCCAGAGCCAAUGAUGCCAUAACCACAGCCACAGGUUUUACCCUCAAGAAUUCCCAUAAGCUCUUUCUGGUCUUGCUGUUCUGGUCUGUUUGGCCCCUGCUGGAGCUCAAGCAUCGAUUUUUUCUGCUUUGCUUGCUUUCUGACAGCACGGUUUAUAUUGGAAAGGUCUGUGUCAGGAAUUAGAGAACAUUCCUAACAAUGGGGAAAAAUACCCUAAUAUAAAUAGACCAUUUGUGGACUUGCACUUUGACAAGUGCAAGUGAACUGGAAGACACAGGAAAAGCUCUGAAGCCAUGGAGACAUGUACCAGAGGCAUUUGCUUAAUAACUCAUCUCAUUCCUUGAGCUCACCUUAUCAAGCUUUAACCUCUGAGUCUCUAAGUUCCCAGUUCAAAAAUGCAGAGUCUCCUCUGUCCUCAUGUUAAUUUUUAAAUUAUAUAUCAUUGUAGAGAGGCCCUUGUGUUGAAUAUUAUGAGCCAUUUUCACAUCUGAAAUGGGGAAUUAUAACUGAACAUUAGCGAUUGCCUAUAAAUCUCAGCAAACCAAGUGGCAUCUCUAACUAUACAGCAUUAACUGGGGAGAAACGCGGUGCACAAGAAGGGGGAUUUAGAAGGGUGGAGGUGAUUUUCACGAGGAGAGGCUGCAAGUGGAUGAGCACAAGUCCCCUGUGCUCUGUGUAAUCCCUAGAAUCCCAGUGGACCUGAGCGGAAGUUUGUUGAAAUUUUUGGAAGCAAUGGUUAAAACUGUUUUUGCAUGUUGGGAUUACAGGCAUGAGCCACUGUGCCUAGCCCCAGAGUGAUUUCUAAAAGGGAAAAAUAAAUACACGUUAGUAACAAAGCGAUGUAGCAGAAACAAUAUGCCACUCUGAAAUCAAGGAGGCUGAAGUUCAGAUUCUGUCUUUCUCGAUGACUGUAUGACCUUGGGCCGUCCAUUUAACCUCUCUGGGUUUUAUUUUCCUCAACUGCAAAAUGAAGAUUUAAAAAUAUGUUUAUCUACCCUGCUCCUGUGCCAGGAAAAUUAACCAGUUGUUAAUGGUAUUAGGAUGCAGUAAAUUCUCUACCUCCUACAUUAGUCUCUAGCCCAUCCCCUAAGCUGAACUAAGCCUUUAAUAUUUAUACAUUAGAACACCUCAACCAAACGCCGUAAGAGCUAGAUGGUAAAAGGAAAAGCAUAGAGAACGACAGAUACGCAUUUGCAAAAGGCAAUACUUCUGUUCAGUAGAUGCCCUCCUCUCCUUUUAUUGUUACUUGGUUGCUUGGCAACUUUAACCCAGUCAUCCCUAAAAGCACAGUGCCACCUGCAACCCCCAACUUCAGGUUUUUAAAAAAGGAACCUUCUAUUAGGAGAAAAUUCACCUUUGUGGCAGUGUCAUUUGACGGGAGAAAAGUAUAUGUUUGAAAAGGCACCCCAGCCAACACGAAUACAUCUCGCAUUUAGCACUCGGAGAUGAGAAUAUCAUAAUAUUUAAAUCAGUUUUGAGAACUUUCCUUGAAAAGGAAAAGUGGGGGGAAAAUCCACUAGUUGAAUACCCAGGGAGGCCACGGGGAGUGGUUACCAUAGCGAUUUCUCGCUGGCAAGUGGUAUUGGGGAGCAGAUUGGUGUCACUUAAUCCUUUUUAUUUGUAAUUUAUGUAUGUUGGCUCAUUCUCCGUGCCAGUCCAGAUUUUCCUGUUUACCUGCCAUUCCGCAUGAUAUGAGCGAAGAGAGACAAUGCCAGUUUUCAGCCAUUUCUUCAAUUUGUCCGCAUUAUCGGGGGUCAGAAGGACAGCCGAGAGUACAUGGGGAUGUCCCAGCACUUGGUUUUUGUCUGACGUUGGCAAAGGGUUAAAGAAAAUUGUGUGGGAAUUGCAGAGAGUGAAGGAGAAUGCCACGACAAUUUCUGUGAUAAUCCAGAAGUGGUUUUGAGACCCAUUUUGGCCUUAUACAUCUUGGUUUCAUAGCACCUUGUUAACGAAUAAUUUUUAUUCUCCAGUGAAUGCAAAAGAAAAGGAGAUGGAAUCCCUUUGGUCUUAUCCCAUCAUCCUGUGGCAAACAUGAUCCAUGAAAAUAAAUAUUCUGUUGCCUAACUUGCUAAGUAAUUGUCUUUCCUGCUGUGCGUGGGUGCUGGGUUCCUGGGAGAAUGGGUAUUAACAGUGUUUCUCGAACUCUCUUCACACUUCCUCAGGAUUAGGCCACAGGAAAAUGUCAGUUUCACUGACAAUUAAAUGGAGUCAGUUCCUUAUUCUCAAGAAAGAAGGAAGGAGAUGAAUACUUUAUAGACACCUUCCUUUAGCCUCAGUGAGCCUUGGACUAAGAAAGGCAAGCCUUCAAAAUGGGCUUCAGUAGAUGUCAACUAAUAAAUACUCAUUUCCAUAAAAUUUAAAUGAACCCCGUAAAAUCUACCUCUUGCUGUGCCAGAGUCCUAUCUCAUUACUCGAAAUAGCAGCAAUAUAAUCAUUGGAAACCACACCCUCCACGGCUGAGGUGGCUGGUAGGAAAGUCAUAGCUAAUUUCCACGUGCUUGUCCACAAAGGUGGUGAAAAUAUGUAGCUAGACCUCUUCAAGUUCUUUCUGCUGUAGGCCAUAUCUCCUGCCAACCACAUGUACCUUAUAAAAUAAUAAUUUUCAGAUGUAGCACUGCAUUUUGAUUAACCAGGAGACAGAGCAAGGAUUUCUUUUACUUUCCGUACACACAGGCAACAGUUCAAAUAUCUAAAUACUUAAAAACUGCAUGUGCUGUUUAAGAAAAUUUCAAAACUUUAGACACCCACCAAGAGAGGGACUGAUUUACCUCUCUAGAAGAAUUUUGUACCCUCUUUGCAUUUUAAGUGAUUUAAGCAAUGAUGACGUCUAUCUUGUUGAGACUUAAUCGCUUAGUCAGAGAAGCUGUUUUUCAGUUAGACAAAUAUUUCCUUUAAGAUCCAUCUUUUAAUUUUAAAAAACCUUCAUUUAAAUUUAGACACAUUGAGAUAGUCCCUAUUUUCAUCAUCAACAGUGCAACUGGAAGAUGCUUUGCAGAAACACUGAGAUAAGCAGUAUUCUUCUAUGAACGGUAUCGCAGACACCUAUUACAUGAAAUUUUCAAGUGAUUAAAAUGUUUUCAGCCUGUGCAGAUAUGCUCAAACUCCCACCCAUCUUGAAAUCCAGUGCCGUCUUGAAAUUUCUGUGAGUUCCCAGAAAUUAUAUUUUUCUUGAUAGGGAAAGCAAUAUGGGGUUCUGGAUAAGAACUUAGAUGCUAGAAUUAUACUACCUAGAUUUAAUUACUGUGUGACCAUGGACAACAGAAGCAACCUCUCUGUUCUUCAGUUUCCCUAUCUGUGAAAUGGAGAAAAAUAGUAAGCCUGUCUUAUAGGUUGUUGAGUAGAAAGAUACUAAACUUUUAAGCACUUUGAACAGGGCUCACCAUUGUUGUAAGUACCCAAUACAUGUUCACUGUAAUCAUUUUUUGCUUCUUCAGAAUUCCUUUUUCUCACUCUUACCUUUGUAGCAAUUCUUUUAAUCACUUUCCUAUAGUUAACCCAAGGUGGACUCAGCCCUAAACUUAACCAUUGACCAUCCCCAACCUUCACACAUUAUAAUUCAAACAACAGAGUCUUGUAGUAAACUUUCAUUGAAAGGUAGAGGUGAGUGGAGCAAACAAUCUAAUAUUUAGUUUUAGAGCUCCUGGUACUUAACGGCAUAUGGCAUUGCACCAUGACUUACCCUGCUCAUAGCAUAUUGCACUGUGGGGUCAUUGAAAAGUCGCUCCGUGCUCCCGGUCUAGGCUGCCAUGGUGCCUGUUUCCUUCCUCACCAGUGAUUCUACCACUCCAAGGAAAAGCAAAACAAAAACAAAAA